This 61-nucleotide small nucleolar RNA is filed under the name Rhinolophus ferrumequinum (greater horseshoe bat). Its description in RNAcentral is "Small nucleolar RNA SNORD75 (ENSRFEG00010011564.1)". It matches the Rfam family "Small nucleolar RNA SNORD75". From Rfam's summary of the family: U75 (SNORD75) belongs to the C/D class of snoRNAs which contain the C (UGAUGA) and D (CUGA) box motifs. Lineage: Eukaryota; Metazoa; Chordata; Mammalia; Chiroptera; Rhinolophidae. The record is from Rfam by way of RNAcentral.
GGCCCGUGAUGGUUAAGAGCAGUGGACAUAAAGGAUUUCUGAAAAAUUGUAUUCUGAGGCU